Culex quinquefasciatus (southern house mosquito) is the source of this 1109-nucleotide long non-coding RNA. RefSeq lists it as uncharacterized. The record is from RefSeq and is a predicted model, not a curated record. The transcript is spliced from 3 exons. NCBI's taxonomy places the organism in Eukaryota, Metazoa, Arthropoda, Insecta, Diptera, Culicidae.
GAGAUGGAUUGAAAUUUGAGUUAAAUCGCUCAAUUUCUCUUCGCGAGGAGUUAAGCGAUUUCCGGGCUCAGGCUUUCUCCACACCGCGGCGUUCUGACUUGAAACCCCAGCGGCUCACUUUAUCCAGUUCCGCGAAGGAGGCUACAGGUGUCCUUUUUUCUAGUGCGCGUCGUGAUCUUUCUAGUUAGAUAGCUAGAAGCUUAGGGCCGUUUUCGUGUGGCGGCAGUAGUGUGCUCGCGUUGGAAAAACAGGUGUUUCGGCCACGCUACAGGCCCAAACCACUCGCCGUCACGCUGCGAAACGCCCCUGGAUCGACCCAGGACAUCACCAGCCCAGGCCCGGCAACGCUACGCCGGACGAACCGCGUACGUCACAACACGUGGUUCCGGAACUGACCGGCUUCCGCCGGAGAAGGACGGCAGCAACCGUCAACCAUCUGCGUCCACCACAUCGGCCACGCGCAACCGCAACCGAGCACGUGCGUCAGUAUCAGCGCGACCUCGCUGAGGUCCGAGCAGCGGCCCGCCUUCGAGUGGCGGCCACGAUAGGGUUCGGCGUGAAUUCACGUUGAACAGCAGCAACAUCAACAGCAGCAGGGAGUAGUCGUUUCAGCAUUCGCUGGCGGCGUUCGAGAUCCGGUAGGUGAAUCCACCGCGACCAGAGCAACAGGAGAGCACCAGGUAACAUCCGCAGCAGCAAACCGUCGAGUUCGGCGGCCACGUGAUCAACGCACUCAAAAAGGGACGUGAGUAGAACGCAUGUUUGAUUAAAGUGAUAAGUCCAUGGCCCACUUGCCCGCAACCUAGAGCCCCCAGGUGCGAGGCCGAUUACACGUCCUUUGACGUGCCCCAAAACCGUCCCGUCUGAGCACCCCUUGACUUAAACGCACACACCAACAUAGAGCGCAAAACAUAAGCACAAAGUAGAAACCCAAAACACACGACAGAUACCAGGCUAACAGGGAAAGGAAGAGGGGAGGACCGCCGGCAAAAACCGAAAAUGUGCACAAAACAAUGAAUGAACGUUCAACCACCAAUACAAAUGUAUCACACACUUCUGUAAAAUAAACACCCAACACCAACACCAAUGUCGACUUUAGUCUAGACACC